RNAcentral lists this ribosomal RNA (693 nucleotides) under Triticum aestivum (bread wheat). Its description in RNAcentral is "partial small subunit ribosomal RNA". Lineage: Eukaryota; Viridiplantae; Streptophyta; Magnoliopsida; Poales; Poaceae. The record is from RNAcentral.
AUGCGAGGAUUUGUAAACUGGAAGAAGGUCCAUGAUGGAAAGAAAUGUGCUUUCUUAAACCACAUAGGUUUUCAACCUUGCUCUGAACAUAAUAAUGCAACCAAAGCAUGCCAUGACUUCUUGAAUCAACAAGGCCAUUUAGAAAAUGUUGUAGCAGUGGGCAACCAGAGGGAUAUAAAAAGAAACUGGCUAAGGGUGAAAGUAUCAAUUGCAGCUGUUAAGUGGCUUAUAUCACAAUCUUGUGCAUUUAGAGGCCAUGAUGAAACUCGAGAGUCAAAGAACGGAGGGGACUUUAUUGAAUUGUUAAAGCUCUUUGUAGAAUUCAAUCCUGAGAUUGCUGAAAUUUUGGAGAAUGCUCCAUACAGUUGGAAGUACACAUCACAUGAAAUCCAACGAAAGAUUUUGGGUAUUUAUGCAUUGGAAGUUAGGAAGCAUAUCCGUGAAGAGAUCGGGGAUUCUAAGUUUUCUAUUCUAGUGGAUGAGACAUGUGAUGUAGUUAAAAGUGAGGUGAUGGCAUUGGUCCUCAGAUUUGUUGAUGAGGAUCGUGUAUUGCAAGAGCGGUUCUUUGCCUUGGUACAUGUGACGAACACCAAUUCCAUAGACACGUUACAAUAUUUUCAGUACAUUCUUCCUUUGAUACCUACGGGUUUGGAGACCCUCCCACAUGAACAAUCUGAAGAACACCGAUUAUGA